AGUGAACGCUGGCGGUAGGCCUAACACAUGCAAGUCGAACGGCAGCACAGUAAGAGCUUGCUCUUACGGGUGGCGAGUGGCGGACGGGUGAGGAAUACAUCGGAAUCUACUUUUUCGUGGGGGAUAACGUAGGGAAACUUACGCUAAUACCGCAUACGACCUACGGGUGAAAGCAGUGGAUCUUCUGACCUUGCGCGAUUGAAUGAGCCGAUGUCGGAUUAGCUAGUUGGCGGGGUAAAGGCCCACCAAGGCGACGAUCCGUAUCUGGUAUGAGAGGAUGAUCAGCCACACUGGAACUGAGACACGGUCCAGACUCCUACGGGAGGCAGCAGUGGGGAAUAUUGGACAAUGGGCGCAAGCCUGAUCCAGCCAUACCGCGUGGGUGAAGAAGGCCUUCGGGUUGUAAAGCCCUUUUGUUGGGAAAGAAAAGCAGCAGGUUAAUACCCCGCUGUUCUGACGGUACCCAAAGAAUAAGCACCGGCUAACUUCGUG
Molecule: ribosomal RNA, 492 nt
Filed under: uncultured bacterium
Lineage: Bacteria
Description: partial 16S ribosomal RNA
Rfam family: Bacterial small subunit ribosomal RNA
Source: RNAcentral